GACGAACGCUGGCGGCGUGCUUAACACAUGCAAGUCGAACGGGUCUGCCCUGUUUUUUGCGGGGUGGGUCAGUGGCGAACGGGUGAGUAACACGUGAGUAACCUGCCCCUCACUUCUGGAUAACCGCUUGAAAGGGUGGCUAAUACGGGGUGUUCUGGCUGUGCCGCAUGGUGUGGCUGGGAAAGAUUCACUUGUGUGGAGUUUUGGUGGGGGAUGGGGUCGUGGCCUAUCAGCUUGUUGGUGGGGUGAUGGGCUGCGAAGGCUUUGACGGGUAGCCGGCCUGCGAGGGUGGGCGGUCAGACUGGGACUGAGAUACGGCCGAGAGUCCUGCGGGCGGCAGCAGUGGGGGGUAUUGCAGAAUGGGAGGAAGCAUGAUGCAGCGACGUCGCGUGAGGGAUGGAGGCCUUCGGGUUGUGAACCUCUUUCGUCGGUGCAGAAUGUCCUGCUCUUUGGGGUGGGGUUGACGGUAGCCGGGUUAUGAAGCGCCGGCUAACUACGUG
This 500-nucleotide ribosomal RNA is filed under the name uncultured bacterium. RNAcentral describes it as "partial 16S ribosomal RNA". It matches the Rfam family "Bacterial small subunit ribosomal RNA", at positions 28 to 507 of the family's 1533-position model. The record is from RNAcentral.